UACGUAGGGGGCAAGCGUUGUCCGGAUUUAUUGGGCGUAAAGAGCGUGUAGGCGGCUUUGCAAGUCCGUUGUGAAAACUCGAGGCUCAACCUCGAGACGCCGGUGGAAACUGCAAAGCUAGAGUCCGGAAGAGGAGAGUGGAAUUCCUGGUGUAGCGGUGAAAUGCGCAGAUAUCAGGAAGAACACCCGUGGCGAAAGCAGCUCUCUGGGACGGUACUGACGCUGAGACGCGAAAGCGUGGGGAGCGAACAGG
Molecule: ribosomal RNA, 253 nt
Filed under: uncultured bacterium
Lineage: Bacteria
Description: partial 16S ribosomal RNA
Rfam family: Bacterial small subunit ribosomal RNA
Source: RNAcentral